AUGGUGAGCGCGUCCAGCCUGCUGCUGCCGUCCUCCAUGCGCGACUUCGCCUCCUGCAUCGGCGACGGCGCCGUCCGCGUCGCCUGCGCCAGCCCCUCCUCCACCCUCACCUCCGGCGGCUCCGGCUCCGGCGCCGCCUCCACCCUCGCCGUCACGGCGUCCUACCGCGCCACGCCCCUCAACUCUGGCGCCUCCUCUGCGCCGCUGCUGUUUCGCCUCACCUGGGCCCACUCCCCGGUGGGCCCCACACUGUCGUUUGCUCCAUCCGCCGCUGCGCCUUCCGUUCUCCUUCGCAGGCGCAGGGGCACCCGCUCCUUCACUCUGGCGGACGGCGGCGGCGGCGAUGCGGAUGAUGCGGAGGCCCCCAUGCUCGCCCUCUUCUGGGACCUCACGGCGGCGCGGUACGACCCCGGGGCGUCGCCGGAGCCGCUCUACGGCUACUUCGUCGUCGCCGUGGCCGGCGCAGAGGUCGUGCUCGCGGUGGGCGACCUGGCCGCGGAGUUCGUCAAGACCAAGUUCGAGGGCCAGAUCUCCAAGGCGCGGUGCCUGCCGGUGUCGCGCAGGGAGCGCGUCGUGGUCGCCGACCCGGCGGCAAUGCACACCGCGAGGGUGCGGUUCGCGGAGGGCGGGCCGGAGCACGAGGUGAGCGUCGGGUGCGCCACCAGCUCCGGGGGAGGGGAGGAGCUGUGGGUCAGCGUCGACGGGAAGCGGGCGGUGCAGGCGCAGCGGCUGCGGUGGAACUUCAGGGGCAACCAGACGGUGUUCGUGGACGGCGCGCCGGUGGACGUCAUGUGGGACCUCCACGGGUGGUGGUUCCGGGACCCGCCGGGCUGCGCGGUGGUGAUGCUCCGGGCGAGGAGCGCGCUGGAGAGCCGGCUGUGGCUGGAGGAGGAGGGGGCGGCGCCGGGGUUCUCGCUCGUCGUGCAGGCCUUCAAGGCCCCGCCAUGA
Molecule: ribosomal RNA, 948 nt
Filed under: Triticum aestivum (bread wheat)
Lineage: Eukaryota; Viridiplantae; Streptophyta; Magnoliopsida; Poales; Poaceae
Description: partial small subunit ribosomal RNA
Source: RNAcentral